Molecule: ribosomal RNA, 445 nt
Filed under: uncultured bacterium
Lineage: Bacteria
Description: partial 16S ribosomal RNA
Rfam family: Bacterial small subunit ribosomal RNA
Source: RNAcentral
GUGAGGAAUAUUGGACAAUGGAUGGAAAUCUGAUCCAGCCAUGCCGCGUGCAGGAAGAAGGUCCUAUGGAUUGUAAACUGCUUUUGUACGGGAGCAAUAAGGGCUAUGCGUAGUUCGAUGAGAGUACCGUACGAAUAAGGAUCGGCUAACUCCGUGCCAGCAGCCGCGGUAAUACGGAGGAUCCGAGCGUUAUCCGGAUUUAUUGGGUUUAAAGGGUGCGUAGGCGGUUCAAUAAGUCAGUGGUGAAAGUUUUCGGCUUAACCGGAAAAUUGCCGUUGAUACUGUUGGGCUUGAAUUUGGUUGCUGUGAGUGGAAUGUGUGGUGUAGCGGUGAAAUGCUUAGAUAUCACACAGAAUAUCGAUUGCGAAGGCAUCUCACAAAGCCAAUAUUGACGCUGAUGCACGAAAGUGUGGGGAUCAAACAGGAUUAGAAACCCGGGUAGUCC